Molecule: ribosomal RNA, 468 nt
Filed under: uncultured bacterium
Lineage: Bacteria
Description: partial 16S ribosomal RNA
Rfam family: Bacterial small subunit ribosomal RNA
Source: RNAcentral
GACGAACGCUGGCGGCGUGCUUAACACAUGCAAGUCGAACGGAAAGGCCCUGCAUUUGUGGGGUGCUCGAGUGGCGAACGGGUGAGUAACACGUGAGUAACCUGCCCUUGACUUUGGGAUAACUUCAGGAAACUGGGGCUAAUACCGGAUAGGAGCUCCUGCUGCAUGGUGGGGGUUGGAAAGUUUCGGCGGUUGGGGAUGGACUCGCGGCUUAUCAGCUUGUUGGUGGGGUAGUGGCUUACCAAGGCUUUGACGGGUAGCCGGCCUGAGAGGGUGACCGGCCACAUUGGGACUGAGAUACGGCCCAGACUCCUACGGGAGGCAGCAGGGGGGAAUAUUGCACAAUGGGCGGAAGCCUGAUGCAGCAACGCCGCGUGCGGGAUGACGGCCUUCGGGUUGUAAACCGCUUUCGCCUGUGACGAAGCGUGAGUGACGGUAAUGGGUAAAGAAGCACCGGCUAACUACGUG